RNAcentral lists this ribosomal RNA (692 nucleotides) under Cryptosporidium felis. RNAcentral's name for it is "partial 18S ribosomal RNA". It matches the Rfam family "Eukaryotic small subunit ribosomal RNA", at positions 315 to 1015 of the family's 1831-position model. Lineage: Eukaryota; Apicomplexa; Conoidasida; Eucoccidiorida; Cryptosporidiidae. The record is from RNAcentral.
UCAGCUUUAGACGGUAGGGUAUUGGCCUACCGUGGCUAUGACGGGUAACGGGGAAUUAGGGUUCGAUUCCGGAGAGGGAGCCUGAGAAACGGCUACCACAUCUAAGGAAGGCAGCAGGCGCGCAAAUUACCCAAUCCUAAUACAGGGAGGUAGUGACAAGAAAUAACAAUACAGGACUUUACGGUUUUGUAAUUGGAAUGAGUUAAGUAUAAACCCCUUUACAAGUAUCAAUUGGAGGGCAAGUCUGGUGCCAGCAGCCGCGGUAAUUCCAGCUCCAAUAGCGUAUAUUAAAGUUGUUGCAGUUAAAAAGCUCGUAGUUGGAUUUCUGUUAAUACCUUAUAUAUAAUAUUUUUUUUUAAAUAUUAUUAUGUAAGAUUAACAUAAUUCAUAUUUUUUAAGACUGAAUUUUUAGUUUUGAUAAUAUGAAAUUUUACUUUGAGAAAAUUAGAGUGCUUAAAGCAGGCUUUUGCCUUGAAUACUCCAGCAUGGAAUAAUAAUAAAAGAUUUUUAUCUUUUUUUUAUUGGUUCUAAGAUAAAAAUAAUGAUUAAUAGGGACAGUUGGGGGCAUUUGUAUUUAACAGUCAGAGGUGAUAUUCUUAGAUUUGUUAAAGACAAACUAAUGCGAAAGCAUUUGCCAAGGAUGUUUUCAUUAAUCAAGAACGAAAGUUAGGGGAUCGAAGACGAUCAGAUAC